RNAcentral lists this ribosomal RNA (1580 nucleotides) under Calyptophractus retusus (Greater fairy armadillo). Its description in RNAcentral is "16S ribosomal RNA". It matches the Rfam family "Bacterial large subunit ribosomal RNA", at positions 252 to 2854 of the family's 2925-position model. The record is from RNAcentral. Lineage: Eukaryota; Metazoa; Chordata; Mammalia; Cingulata; Chlamyphoridae.
ACCAAAUCUAGCCCCAAAACCACUCAACACAAAUAUAACACCCACUAUUAAACAAAACAUUCACCCACCAUCUAAAGUAUAGGAGAUAGAAAUUUUAGACCGGCGCCAUAGAGAAAGUACCGUAAGGGAAAGAUGAAAGACCAAUUUACAGUAAAAAACAGCAAAGACAAAUACUUUUACCUUUUGCAUAAUGAGUUAACUAGAAUACCCUUGGCAAAGAGCACUUCAGUCAAGUACCCCGAAACCAGACGAGCUACUUACGGACAGCAACCAGAGCCAACUCGUCUAUGUCGCAAAAUAGUGAGAAGAUCCGUAAGUAGAGGUGAAAAGCCAACCGAGCCUGGUGAUAGCUGGUUGUCCAGGAUAGAAUUUUAGUUCAACUUAAAAUUUACCUCAAGAACCCAAAGGCAGUCCCACCGUAAAUUUUAAUUAUAGUCAAUAGAGGUACAGCUCUAUUGAAACGAGGAUUAAACCUCAGUCGAAGAGUAAACUACAACAACUUCCCAUUGUCGGCUUAAAAGCAGCCACCAACAAAGAUAGCGUUCAAGCUCGAAAACAGCACUACUCUAAAUCCCACAAACGACUAGUCACCUCCCGACACCCCACACUGGACCAAUCUAUAACCAAAUAGAAGAGACAAUGUUAACAUUAGUAACAAGAACACCUUUCUCCACGCAUAAGCUUAUAUCAGAACGGAUAUCCCACUGAUAGUUAACAACAAGGCAACUACAACCCACCAAACAACAACAUCCCACUAUCCAUUGUUAACCCAACACAGGCAUGCACACCGGAAAGACCCAAAGGAGUAGAAGGAACUCGGCAAACACGAAUCCCGCCUGUUUACCAAAAACAUCACCUCUAGCAUUACAAUUAUUAGAGGCAAUGCCUGCCCAGUGACAUACGUUCAACGGCCGCGGUACCCUGACCGUGCAAAGGUAGCAUAAUCACUUGUUCUCUAACUAAGGACCUGUAUGAAUGGCCAAACGAGGAUUCUACUGUCUCCUACCCCCAGUCAGUGAAAUUGACCUUCCCGUGAAGAGGCGGGAAUACACAUAUAAGACGAGAAGACCCUGUGGAGCUUCAAUUAACCAGCUCAACAAUAACCAAACACUCCCCGAAAGGAACAAACACCAUGUACCCAUGAGCUGCCAAUUUUGGUUGGGGUGACCUCGGAGCAAAACAAAACCUCCGAAUGAUAAGCACCAAGACCCACAAGUCAAAGUCCAUUUUAUCACCAAUUGACCCAAAACAUUGAUCAACGGAACAAGUUACCCCAGGGAUAACAGCGCAAUCCUAUUAAAGAGCCCCUAUCGACAAUAGGGUUUACGACCUCGAUGUUGGAUCAGGACAUCCAAAUGGUGCAGCCGCUAUUAAGGGUUCGUUUGUUCAACGAUUAAAGUCCUACGUGAUCUGAGUUCAGACCGGAGCAAUCCAGGUCGGUUUCUAUCUAUAACCAAUUUCUCCCAGUACGAAAGGACAAGAGAAAUGAGGCCAACCUCACACACGCGCCUUAACAUCCAAUAGAUGAAGUUAAUCUAAAUCUAAACCAUUACACCAAUUUUGCUCUAAACCAGAGCCUU